GCUUACGGCCAUACCACCCUGAGCACGCCCGAUCUCGUCUGAUCUCGGAAGCUAAGCAGACUCGGGCCUGGUUAGUACCUGGAUGGGAGACCGCCUGGGAAUACCAGGUGCUGUAAGCU
Molecule: ribosomal RNA, 119 nt
Organism: Betta splendens (Siamese fighting fish)
Lineage: Eukaryota; Metazoa; Chordata; Actinopteri; Anabantiformes; Osphronemidae
Source: Ensembl